Molecule: ribosomal RNA, 255 nt
Filed under: uncultured bacterium
Lineage: Bacteria
Description: partial 16S ribosomal RNA
Rfam family: Bacterial small subunit ribosomal RNA
Source: RNAcentral
UACGUAGGGUGCAAGCGUUAAUCGGAAUUACUGGGCGUAAAGCGUGCGCAGGCGGUUUUGUAAGUCUGUCGUGAAAUCCCCGGGCUCAACCUGGGAAUUGCGAUGGAGACUGCAAGGCUGGAGUCUGGCAGAGGGGGGUAGAAUUCCACGUGUAGCAGUGAAAUGCGUAGAGAUGUGGAGGAACACCGAUGGCGAAGGCAGCCCCCUGGGUCAAGACUGACGCUCAUGCACCGAAAGGCGUGGGGAGCAAACAGG